GGGGUUGUGGCUCAGUGGUAGACUGCUUGCCUAGCCUGUAUGAGGCACUGGGUUCAAUUCUCAGCACCACA
This 71-nucleotide transfer RNA is filed under the name Marmota monax (woodchuck). RNAcentral's name for it is "tRNA.Ala". The record is from RNAcentral. Lineage: Eukaryota; Metazoa; Chordata; Mammalia; Rodentia; Sciuridae.